Molecule: ribosomal RNA, 1519 nt
Filed under: Salmonella enterica subsp. enterica serovar Typhimurium
Lineage: Bacteria; Pseudomonadati; Pseudomonadota; Gammaproteobacteria; Enterobacterales; Enterobacteriaceae
Description: partial 23S ribosomal RNA
Rfam family: Bacterial large subunit ribosomal RNA
Source: RNAcentral
GAUUCGUCACACUAUCAUUAACUGAAUCCAUAGGUUAAUGAGGCGAACCGGGGGAACUGAAACAUCUAAGUACCCCGAGGAAAAGAAAUCAACCGAGAUUCCCCCAGUAGCGGCGAGCGAACGGGGAGGAGCCCAGAGCCUGAAUCAGCAUGUGUGUUAGUGGAAGCGUCUGGAAAGGCGCGCGAUACAGGGUGACAGCCCCGUACACAAAAGCGCAUGUGCUGUGAGCUCGAUGAGUAGGGCGGGACACGUGGUAUCCUGUCUGAAUAUGGGGGGACCAUCCUCCAAGGCUAAAUACUCCUGACUGACCGAUAGUGAACCAGUACCGUGAGGGAAAGGCGAAAAGAACCCCGGCGAGGGGAGUGAAAAAGAACCUGAAACCGUGUACGUACAAGCAGUGGGAGCACCCUUCGGGGUGUGACUGCGUACCUUUUGUAUAAUGGGUCAGCGACUUAUAUUCUGUAGCAAGGUUAACCGUAUAGGGGAGCCGGAGGGAAACCGAGUCUUAAUUGGGCGUUAAGUUGCAGGGUAUAGACCCGAAACCCGGUGAUCUAGCCAUGGGCAGGUUGAAGGUUGGGUAACACUAACUGGAGGACCGAACCGACUAAUGUUGAAAAAUUAGCGGAUGACCUGUGGCUGGGGGUGAAAGGCCAAUCAAACCGGGAGAUAGCUGGUUCUCCCCGAAAGCUAUUUAGGUAGCGCCUCGUGAAUUCAUCUCCGGGGGUAGAGCACUGUUUCGGCUAGGGGGCCAUCCCGGCUUACCAACCCGAUGCAAACUGCGAAUACCGGAGAAUGUUAUCACGGGAGACACACGGCGGGUGCUAACGUCCGUCGUGAAGAGGGAAACAACCCAGACCGCCAGCUAAGGUCCCAAAGUCAUGGUUAAGUGGGAAACGAUGUGGGAAGGCCCAGACAGCCAGGAUGUUGGCUUAGAAGCAGCCAUCAUUUAAAGAAAGCGUAAUAGCUCACUGGUCGAGUCGGCCUGCGCGGAAGAUGUAACGGGGCUAAACCAUGCACCGAAGCUGCGGCAGCGAACGUAUCACCCAAGACAACUUUACGGAGUUGACGAUUGACGGAGCGAAGCGACGUCAAAGCGUUCAUUAAAGUCGAGUUGGCUUAGGGAUACGUUCGUUGGGUAGGGGAGCGUUCUGUAAGCCUGUGAAGGUGUGUCGUGAGGCAUGCUGGAGGUAUCAGAAGUGCGAAUGCUGACAUAAGUAACGAUAAAGCGGGUGAAAAGCCCGCUCGCCGGAAGACCAAGGGUUCCUGUCCAACGUUAAUCGGGGCAGGGUGAGUCGACCCCUAAGGCGAGGCCGAAAGGCGUAGUCGAUGGGAAACGGGUUAAUAUUCCCGUACUUGGUGUUACUGCGAAGGGGGGACGGAGAAGGCUAUGUUGGCCGGGCGACGGUUGUCCCGGUUUAAGCGUGUAGGUGUGUGUUCCAGGUAAAUCCGGUUCACUUUAACACUGAGGCGUGACGACGAGGCACUACGGUGCUGAAGCAACAAAUGCCCUGCUUCCAGG